Molecule: RNA transcript, 2074 nt
Organism: Triticum urartu
Lineage: Eukaryota; Viridiplantae; Streptophyta; Magnoliopsida; Poales; Poaceae
Source: RefSeq, a predicted model, not a curated record
AGAACAAAUUUCCCCAUCUCAAGCGAAUCCCUCCCACAGAUCCCCCGCCGUGCUCGAGCGCGAGCGCCUUCUCGCUCCCUCGUCCAAGAAGCAGGCACGAGCAGGCGCCCCUCUCCCGUAGCUCGAAUUUGAGUGAGUCGAGCGAGCGCUUCCUCGCACCCUCGCUGGCGAUCUGCAGCAGGACCCCGCUGGAAGUACCAACUCCAACACAACAAUGGCGCCGCCCAUGGAUCUCAGAACUGCCGCUGUCACGCCCGCGUCAUUCGGAACCUUCACCGACACAUGCCGUCGCGAUCUUGCAUGUGCGUGUCAGCACCACAACAAUGGCGCUGCCCAGAUCUCAGAACUCCCGUCGUCAUGCCCGCGUCAUUCGUCGGAAUCUUCACCGACGCCCGUCGUCACGAUUCUGCAUGUGCGUGUCAGCGGGAGCAUCUCCCACGUUGGCCUCGACCGCCUCUCGCCGUCUCCCUCUCUUUGAGUCACAGGCCGGCGGCGAGCUCGUGGCAUGAAGGCCCGACGGCCAUGGCUUCCUGCGAAGGAGAGAGAGAGAGAAAAGAGAGGGAGGUGAGAGAUAGAAGUGGAGGGCCAGGAGGGAAGGAGAGGAGGGCAGGGUUGGCGCCUUAGUCCGACGGCGGCGCUCUGGUGGCUGGCCGGCGCGGGGCGGCGGGGAGGCUCGAGCGCGAGCCCGCGCGUGAAGGCGCUGGGCGCGGUCGGCGGUGGCGGACGCAGGAUCGCGGGUUGAAUGCAAAUAAACAAAGGGUGUUUUUGUAAAAAUGAAACGUUUUCUUAGGUCCAUUUAAAAUAGAACUGCGGGUUGAAUAUCUAAAAACAUAAGGGUUUUUCUGGAAAAUUGUCGCGGCGUUAUUAGGGAAGAUUUAGUGAGUUUCCAUACAUAAUUCACGAGAUAACGUCAGCCGCACGAUCUUAUGAUCGAUAGACAGCUGAGAGCGCACCUGAGCCUCUUAGCUACUAACAGGCACGCCCUGGCUAUCAAAUUGCCUUCAACCUCCAGCCAAGAAGCAUAGGCAUGCCUCCACCCACGUUAAUGCGCACUCUUGCACGCCCUGCAAGAUCGUGCACCUCAACGGCCAUGCCGCCAUUCUUUAUAUGUAACAUCCUAAUUUUUAAUUUGGAUGUUAAUUAAUCAUUUAGGUCAUCAUAUGCAUUCAUGAUUCUUGCAUUUUUUGAAUUGGUUUUAUUUGGACAGUUUGAUUCUAAAGAUCUUAAGCAAAUCAAGGACCAUUUGAGAGAGUUGGAGGUUUUCAUAAAAUUCCAUUUUUGAAAUUUUUAAAAUUGGUAAACUGGAUCAAAGAGAAUUUUAUUUGAAAUUAUUUUUUCCAAAUUAUUUCCAAAUAAAUAAAUAAUGAGAGAAGAUAAUAUUACUUCUUCAAAACAGAGAAAAUAAUGGAAAUUUAAUUUUAAAUAAAAAUAUUUAUUUUAUUGGAUUUUUAUUUGAGAUUUUAUUCAAGUAAAUUAGGGAAAAUCGCAUUUUAUUACAGAAAAAUGUUUACGUGGUCCUAAAUAUUAGUAGAGGGCCGUGAAAAUUGUUUUGGGAUUUUAGGGUUUUUAUUUAUUUUAUUUUUGGAUUUUUCCGUUCGCGCGAAAUUAUAAUUUUAUUUUAAAAUAAAUCUUUCGGACCGACCGGGCCGAAGGCCCAGCUGGCCUAGCCACCGCCGCCUUCCCCGUCGUGGCCGACCGGGACUCCACCGGAGUCCGGCACCGACAUGGCCCCGGCUGGCCCCUCCCGCAAGCCGUCACCCCCCGACCUUUAUAAGGAGCCGGACCCCCAACCCCCUCCUCCUCAGCCGCCGCACCCCGCCACCGCCUGCCACCGCCGCCGUAGCCGCCCAUGCCUCCUGCAGUAGCCGCCGCCUGCGCCGCGCCGCCACCCCGCGCCACCUCCCGCGCCACGUCGCCGCCACCGCUCGCUGCCACGCCUCGCCCAACUCGCCGGAGCCGCUCCCGCCGUCGUCGGUGAACGUCGCCGCCGCCGUCGGUUUUUCCGACCCGAACCGAGUUUCCAAAGUGCGAGGCUUGCUACUACGAAUCUCUAGGGUUUUCCGAUCGUCAGCAA